AAUGUUGUGACAGGGCAAGGGAGAAUGGUUUUGCAUUGAAGGAGAGUUGAUUUAAAUUAGCAGGGACGUCCCUUUGCAGCUGGGACAUGAAUCUGCAAACCCUUCUGCAGCUUCUUGGGCCAGUUCUGCUUGAACCACUUUUCACUCCUGGAUGUAUUCUGAAGAUGUUUGCAUCAUAUUUUGUUUUAAUUCAGUGCUCAGGCAAGCUCGGGUGGUGCAGCAUCUCUCAAAAACCACUGCUGGAGGAAUCCAAGAAUGGAAGAUCAGCACAUACCAGCCUAAGGUGUCUGGCACUGCAAUAUUUUGUCUGAUUUUUAAAAGAGUGAUUUGGUUCUGCAUAAGCUCGUGAUUGAUUAUAUAUAUAUAUAUUAUAUAUAUAAGGAUCAGA
Molecule: long non-coding RNA, 388 nt
Organism: Vidua macroura (Pin-tailed whydah)
Lineage: Eukaryota; Metazoa; Chordata; Aves; Passeriformes; Viduidae
Exons: 3
Source: RefSeq, a predicted model, not a curated record